GCGUAAGCGCGCGUAGGUGGUUUGAUAAGCGAGAUGUGAAAGCCCCGGGCUUACCUGGGGAACGGCAUUUCGAACUGUCAGGCUAGAGUAUGGUAGAGGAGUGUGGAAUUUCCUGUGUAGCGGUGAAAUGCGUAGAUAUAGGAAGGAACACCAGUGGCGAAGGCGGCACUCUGGACCAAUACUGACACUGAGGUGCGAAAGCGUGGGGAGCAAACAGGAUUUAGAUACCCUGGUAGUCCACGCUGUAAACGAUGUCUACUAGCCGUUGGGACUCUUGAAGUCUUAGUGGCGCAGCCAACGCACUAAGUAGACCGCCUGGGGAGUACGGCCGCAAGGUUAAAACUCAAAUGAAUUGACGGGGGCCCGCACAAGCGGUGGAGCAUGUGGUUUAAUUCGACGCAACGCGAAGAACCUUACCUGGCCUUGACAUGCUGAGAACUUUCCAGAGAUGGAUUGGUGCCUUCGGGAACUCAGACACAGGUGCUGCAUGGCCGUCGUCAGCUCGUGUCGUGAGAUGUUGGGUUAAGUCCCGUAACGAGCGCAACCCCUAUCCCUAGUUGCUUGCAGUUCGGCUGAGAACUCUAGGGAGACUGCCGGUGACAAACCGGAGGAAGGUGGGGAUGACGUCAGGUCAUCAUGGCCCUUACGGCCAGGGCUACACACGUGCUACAAUGGCGCGCACAGAGGGCUGCAAACCCGCGAGGGGGAGCUAAUCUCACAAAACGCGUCGUAGUCCGGAUCGGAGUCUGCAACUCGACUCCGUGAAGUCGGAAUCGCUAGUAAUCGUGAAUCAGAAUGUCACGGUGAAUACGUUCCCGGGCCUUGUACACACCGCCCGUCACACCAUGGGAGUGGAUUGCACCAGAAGUGGUUAGUCUAACCUUCGGGAGGACGAUCACCACGGUGUGGUUCAUGACUGGGGUGAAGUCGUAACAAGGUAGCCGUAAACGCNUCUGCCAGCAUGNGNANNCCU
Molecule: ribosomal RNA, 973 nt
Filed under: uncultured bacterium
Lineage: Bacteria
Description: bacterial SSU rRNA
Rfam family: Bacterial small subunit ribosomal RNA
Source: RNAcentral